GGAUAAGGAAAGUAAAAAAGGGCGCAUGGCGGAUGCCUUGGCUCUCGGAGGCGAUGAAGGACGUGAUAAGCUGCGAUAAGCUUUGGGGAGGUGCAAAUGACCUUUGAUCCAGAGAUUUCCGAAUGGGACAACCCAAUAUCUUGAAGAGGUAUUAUCUUACUAUGUAAGAGGCUAACGCAGGGAACUGAAACAUCUUAGUACCUGCAGGAAAAGAAAAUAAACAAUGAUUCCCCCAGUAGUGGCGAGCGAACGGGGAACAGCCCAAACCAUCCAUGUUACGGCAUGUGUGGGGUUGUAGGACUACGCCGUUGCAUGAAGACAUCAGAGAAGAACUUUCUGGAAAGAAAGACCAUAGAGCAUGACAGUUGCGUAUUCGAAUGUUGUCGAAGCAUAGUAGUAUCCUGAGUAGCGCGGAGCACGAGGAAUUCUGCGUGAAUCUGCCGGGACCAUCCGGUAAGGCUAAAUACUCCCGAGAGACCGAUAGCGAACCAGUACCGUGAGGGAAAGGUGAAAAGCACUUCGAACAGAAGAGUGAAAUAGUUCCUGAAACCGUGCGCCUACAAGCGGUCGGAGCUCGUUAAUGAGUGACGGCGUGCCUUUUGCAUAAUGAACCUACGAGUUGCCUUUGCCGGCAAGGUUAAGUGUGACGACACACGUAUCCGAAGCGAAAGCGAGUCUGAACAGGGCGUAUAGUCGGCAGUGGCAGACGCGAAACCAAGUGAUCUACCCUUGGCCAGGUUGAAGGCUGGGUAACACCAGCUGGAGGACCGCACCAAUAAGCGUUGAAAAGCUUCUGGAUGAGCUGAGGGUAGGGGUGAAAGGCUAAUCAAACUUGGAGAUAGCUCGUACUCCCCGAAAUGCAUUUAGGUGCAGCCUUGCGGGUUACUGAUGUGAGGUAGAGCGACUGAUAAGAUGCGAGGGCUUCACCGCCUAUCAAGUCUUGACAAACUCCGAAUGCGCAUCAGUUCUACCGCAGGAGUGAGGGCAUGGGUGCUAAGGUCCGUGCCCGAGAGGAGAAGAAUCCGGACCACCUGCUAAGGUCCCGAAAUGACAGCUAAGUUAAACUAACGAAGUCUGACUGCUAAGACAGCUAGGAUGUUGGCUUGGAAGCAGCCAUUCAUUUAAAGAGUGCGUAACAGCUCACUAGUCGAGGAGUCGGGCGUGGAUAAUAAUCGGGUAUCAAGUUGUCUACCGAAGCAGUGGGAUCAUUAAUAUGAUCGGUAGGGGAGCAUUCCAGUCGGCGUCGAAGGCGUACCGUGAGGUAUUCUGGAGCGUCUGGAAAAGCAAAUGUAGGUAUAAGUAACGAUAAAGGGGGCGGGAAACCCCCUCGCCGAAAGACUAAGGUUUCCUGAUCAACGCUAAUCGGAUCAGGGUCAGUCGGGUCCUAAGGCUCAGCCGAACGGCGAUGCCGAUGGCAGAAACGGUUAAUAUUCCGUUACUACCUUCAGGAGUGACGUGGAGACGCCAGUAGUGACAGUGCCGCCAUCUGACGGAAUAGAUGGUUGAAGGGUGUAGGAGUCGAUCAUGGCAGGCAAAUCCACCAUGAGAUCCGAACCUGAUAGUAUGCCGCGUCCUUCGGGACAAGGCAAUAGUGCGCGUAAGCAUGCUGCCGAGAAAAUCCGCUAAACUUAAUCCUGGAGGUACCCGUACCGCAAACGGACACACGUAGUCGGAUGAAUAUUCUAAGGCGCUUGAGUGAUUCACGGUUAAGGAACUAGGCAAACUGACCCUGUAACUUCGGGAUAAAGGGUCCCUACCCUUUUAUGGGAGGGCGCAGAGAAUCGUCCAGGCAACUGUUUAACAAAAACACAGGGCUGUGCCAAAUCGAAAGAUCCAGUAUACAGCCUGACACCUGCCCGGUGCUGGAAGGUUAAGAGGAGAUGUCAUCGAUAAGAGAAGCGUUGAAUUGAAGCCCCAGUAAACGGCGGCCGUAACUAUAACGGUCCUAAGGUAGCGAAAUUCCUUGUCGGGUAAGUUCCGACCUGCACGAAUGGUGUAAUGAUCUGGACGCUGUCUCAACCGUGAGCUCAGUGAAAUUGUAGUAUCGGUGAAGAUGCCGAUUACCCGCGAUGGGACGAAAAGACCCCGUGAACCUUUACUAUAGCUUAUCAUUGAAUCUGGGCACGUGAUGUGUAGGAUAGGUCGGAGGCUUUGAAGCAGGUACGCCAGUAUUUGUGGAGCCGCUGUUGAAAUACGACCCUUUAUUUGUUUGGAUUCUAACCCGUGGAUACGGGGACAUUGAUUGGUGGGUAGUUUGACUGGGGUGGUCGCCUCCAAAAGCGUAACGGAGGCUUCUAAAGGUGCCUCCGGCCGAUUGGU
This 2319-nucleotide ribosomal RNA is filed under the name Phocaeicola vulgatus. Its description in RNAcentral is "bacterial LSU rRNA". It matches the Rfam family "Bacterial large subunit ribosomal RNA", at positions 1 to 2335 of the family's 2925-position model. Lineage: Bacteria; Pseudomonadati; Bacteroidota; Bacteroidia; Bacteroidales; Bacteroidaceae. The record is from RNAcentral.